Long non-coding RNA from Aegilops tauschii subsp. strangulata, 1750 nucleotides. RefSeq lists it as uncharacterized. The record is from RefSeq and is a predicted model, not a curated record. NCBI's taxonomy places the organism in Eukaryota, Viridiplantae, Streptophyta, Magnoliopsida, Poales, Poaceae.
UGGCAUCUCUUCCACUACCCAUGCCCUUUACCAUAUCUUCUGCUCGUUGCAAACCUACUGUGCGAAUAGCAUAUACUGCUGUUCUUUGAUCAACAUUGGGUGAUGCUUGGUAGUUACCCCUCUCUCAGCCUUGCAAAGUUUGGGUGUGUGAGUUUGUAACUUGGACACCUCAUAGAAUGUUGGUUCGAAUAUUCCAAAUUGAUCAUGUAUAUAUCCCUAGCAGAUCUAAGCUGUCACUACUCUUUUUUUGGUUGUCAGGAAAUGUAUUUUUUAUCUCAGCUUCUAAUGAUGAAAAGAAGUAGUCAAGAAUAAAAUUUGAUGUCCUUGGCACCUUACAAGAUGAUAAACAUCAACACUGAUGUUCUGAUAACUGUAAAAUAGGAAUGCAUGCAUCAAUGGGCAUGAAGGGCAUGGGUUGAAGACCAAAUAUUCUACAUUGUUCGGUCUAUUUAAAGUGCAGAGGCUUCGAAAUCAGCACGCAUGCCAGCUUUUCCUGUGAGUCCGAGUCCAUUAUCUUGCCCCGUGGCAAAGAAAUAUAUUUCAAGUUUCUUGGGUGCAUCUGUUAGCUGCUAAGGUGGAUUUAAUCAGGCAGCUUAUUGAUCUCAAGAACUCUUCAAUCUCAGAUGGUCAUCUCCCUAUCCAGCCGACAUAGAAAGAAAAACUCAAUGGUGAUCCCAACAUCUAGAGCCGCUUCUAAUCUAUGGAAGCUCAAUUCUAUUUUUUAACAAGAAUGUGAGUUUGGAUGCGGUCUUCAGAUGAAUCAAGCCUGAGAUCCACAGGUGUCGUGGGCUAAUUAGCUGUGAGUUCCCAAGAUGCAAAGUAUUUUGUACCCUCCAUCUGGAAAUACUUGUCGCAGAAAUGGACAAAAAUGGAUGUAUCUAGAAUUAUAAUAUGUCUAGAUACAACCAUUUCUCCUACAAUAAUUCCGGACGGAGGGAGUAUGUUUCAUGAAAGAAUAUUAACGAAACAACUAAUUUAUGAUAACUACUGUAUCAUUUGGAUCCUAUAAAUGGCAUGUAUAUCAUCUUCCUCUGGUUUCUAUCAAUAGGAAAGCUACACUUGAUAAUGCACUCCAUAUUGGCUUAACGAGUGAAUGCUUUGUUGUUGUCUCAUGAGGACUAUGUGAUGCGUGAUGAGGAAGAAGCAAAAGGAGCAAUGGGAUGGUGACAUGCACAUCGCCCUUGGGUAUAAGGCGGAGGUGCUUACUAUAAAGAUUGAGAAAGAGUGAGGGGGAUGAAGAGAGAGAGAGAGAGAGAGAGGAGAGAUCGAGGUAGGGAGGAAGGGGGAGAGAGAUCUUGCAUGUACACGUCGAUAGGAUAACUAUUUUUUGUUUUGAGCAAUGGGAAUAGCAGGAGAGGCUCCUACAGUUUAUAUAUGAAACCCAAAAAUGGCGGAUAUUUACAGAUGAGUGGGAUUACAUAGCAAUUGUGGCUAAAGCGUGAAAUAGAAAUUACAAGGGUAGGUUUGUUACAAAAUUGUCGAUGAAGGUGGCCACCUCAGGGGAAUUUCAGAAUGAGUAAGUCACUUUUGAUAGGAUAACUGUGUUCUGAAAUACUAAUGAGAUUUGAUGGUAAGUCACCAUAAGUUUGUUUCCAAUUUGUCAGGCACCAUAACUUUCAUGUCCAAUAUGUUGCAGAAAUAUUCUUUGAUAAAUAUGUUUUUAUCUCUUGAUAUUUUAGUAUGAUUGUAAAAAAAAUUAUUCAUGUAUCAUUCCAAGAAGCAUUUUUAUUUGGGGGAAGAAUGAAGGGAA